This is a long non-coding RNA of Triticum aestivum (bread wheat), 2465 nucleotides long. RefSeq lists it as uncharacterized. The record is from RefSeq and is a predicted model, not a curated record. NCBI's taxonomy places the organism in Eukaryota, Viridiplantae, Streptophyta, Magnoliopsida, Poales, Poaceae. The transcript is spliced from 4 exons.
GUUACACUACUGGGCCUCAAACCCUAGCGAAGGGUCUCUCCACCCCCGUCCCCGUGUUCGCUCUAACCUCGCCAAAGCCGUCGCUCCUGCAGUCCUUCGGCGCCAUCCAAUCUCACGCCAGACUCCUGCGGUAGGAGAGGAGAGUAUGAACGACGUUCCUUGCAGCGACAGCGACGACCGACGAGGAGCCCUUUCUGUUUCCACCUCCUUUCUUUCAUGGAUGCCGUGUCUUCUUUGCCCGUCAGAGCCCAGAUCUGUCUAUUGUUUGUGCUGAUCAUCGUUCGAGAGAAGAGAUGGGAAGAGAUUGAUUCCUGCAUUAAGAAUCUGUCCAAAGACACUAAGACGUCCUGACUGGUGGUGAUUCUGUUCAGGGAGAAGAAAAUAUACAAUUCAUUGUGGCACUAUUAACGCUAGCAUCAGGAGGUUGUUCAUGUCAUCAAAAUGUGCAACCAGAAUGAAAGUGCAACUACACUGCAGCUUCUUCGAGGUAUGCAGAGUAUGUCCUCUCAUACACCCUGUUCUUAAUGUGUCAAUUAUAUCCUAAAGAUAUGGGUUCACCAGGUACAAAGAACAUCUUAGUGGGAUUUCAAAAAAAAAGUUCAACUUAUUAGUGUUAGCUUCCUAUGUUAUUCUCCAUGGAACCCUCUCCUUAAUUAAGACAGGGUGUCCUUAAAAAGAAAUGUAAGACGAAGGAGGGUAGAGGAGAUCGAGGAGGGAGGGGGCCGUUGCGAGGAGAUAGUUGGAGGUCAAGCAUCGGCACUGGAGACGAGGACCCGCGAGCGGGAGAGGCGACGCUGGGCUGGCCAUUUCCACUGCGUCGGCAGAAGCCAGCGGAGUGAGCUCGUCAGCGUGGCAUCAAACUAUACAAUGAAGUUAGAGUCCGGCCAGAUCGUUUGCAAGUGAAAUAAGGGACCGACAACUGAACAUUUUUAUGCCAACACACUUCUUGCUGGUGUGUCCUUUUAUCAAUAACAUGCCUGCUUCUCAGGAGACGCAAACUGUACCCGAUUAAGAAUGAGAAGAACAACCUUUGCUUCUACUAGGUACUUUCAUUUAUUGACAUUCACCUGUUUGUGUUGUUAACAUUUAGUUCCAUCUAUCCAUCAAUUAGUUAUUAGUUUUUGUAUAUUUCAAUUAAGCGUUGGGGAAGAGUAGCAAAUCAUAAAUUUGAAACAUGUAUCCUCGCAUCCGUGACUGUCUUAUAGUCCAUGAAUAAAUAGUUACUACUUCAUUGGCGCAGUAUUAUUUGCCGAAAUCCCUUUGGGCCAAUAUUUGACAUGUCUUUAUUUCCUCCUUUCCCUUAUACAAUAUUAAAUUUUGGCCUGGGCUUAUGUUUUUACUACCCCUAUCAGAUCAUUAUUUAUUGUAAUUUUUGUGCAAUUUUCUAUAUCGCCUGUUCUGAUUGCACUAAAACUUUCUUCUGCUAACAUAAUUUUUUAAUGUUAUGAGGUUUAUCUAUCCAUUUUUUUGCAUGUGACGAUAUAAAUGAAUUUUUUAGAUAAAAGGCUGAGCUCAACAUGCCUUGAAAAGGUUCGUGCAUAGUUUGGAAAGCUAAUUAGUUGAAUGUAGUGUCCGAUAUUCUUAAGCAUCUCCUCGGUUUUAUCAUUACCAAUUUGAGACGAUUUUCUUUGUCUCGGUUUAAGGCUAUUUAGCCUUCAGUUCGUGACCAAUCUCAUAAUUUGCUCUAAAUGAUAAGUUUUCACUGCUCCAGUGGUUUGGCCUGUUAGAAACAGUUGUAGUGUACUCAUUUGUUGGGAGUGUGAGUGCUCAUCGCGCUAUGUAUUGUAGAAAUCUACCGGAUUAGUCAACGGUAUGCUGCACCGUUUGCUUCAAAACAAUCCUGAGAUAUUUACUGAUUAUACAAUUCUUCGAUUUCCAUUGGUCAUUUUUCUCUUUGUGUUCUCAACUCUAUGUGAUAUCUAUUUUUCUUAAAUUUUGUGCAGCAAAUGAGUAAGAACUAUUACAUUGUACAUGCUACUUAUCACCUUCAUCGUUGUGUUGUGAACAAAGUUGAACUGUUUGGGCUUGUGAAAAAGGUAGAAAUUACUAGAUAUCGUGUCAUGAGAUAUGGCCCUUUUUAAUGGCAUACCAUAUGAAGAUUCUUUUAGUCAGUAGAACUUCUAUGCAUGCCUUCAGCACAUUACAUCUUCAUUCGGUGAAGGAUGUCAUCAAAAGUGAAGGAUGGCAUUGGAAUUUUCUUCAUUAUUUAACCAAGUGAAGGAUAGCAUCACACAAUGGUGUAGUCUAGGAUAGGGAUACCUACAUUUUUUUAUUUUUGCACAACACAUUGCAAUAUAGUAUACAUGAUUUUAACUUAUACUUUUGAUGAAUUUUAUCUCAAGUUCUUCAAUGAUAAUAUGUUUCCGCUUGUUGCUUAAAGCUGUUUCUCAAGCAAAAAAUCUUCUAUCUUUCGGUUUGUUUCCACCAAUGUGUAUUGUUAAAUUAUCUAUGUUGCUAUUAUUUUG